This is a long non-coding RNA of Pogoniulus pusillus (Red-fronted tinkerbird), 283 nucleotides long. RefSeq lists it as uncharacterized. The transcript has 3 exons. Lineage: Eukaryota; Metazoa; Chordata; Aves; Piciformes; Lybiidae. The record is from RefSeq and is a predicted model, not a curated record.
CGAGAAGAGCAAAGCUGGUCUGUGAGUUUCCCUCCUGCAGAUAUCUUUAAAGGACAAGAAGUCUUUUUCAGCAUGGAAUCAGAAAAAACGAACACACUGAUGAAGUGGAGAUCCAAAUCCAGCCCUCAAAUUCCAGGAAAAAGUCUUCAAAUUCCUUCUGCAACGGUUUCAGCCCAACACAUUUGGCAGCUCGGAGAGCAAACCCUAUGAAGUAUUCCCUGUUCGUUACCAGGAACAGAACAAGAGACACUGGUUACAUUCUGAGCUUUUGGAUGUAGGGUUU